This 491-nucleotide ribosomal RNA is filed under the name uncultured bacterium. RNAcentral's name for it is "partial 16S ribosomal RNA". It matches the Rfam family "Bacterial small subunit ribosomal RNA", at positions 30 to 507 of the family's 1533-position model. The record is from RNAcentral.
UUGAACGCUGGCGGCAUGCUUUACACCUGCAAGUCGCACGGUAACAGGCCUUCGGGUGCUGACGAGUGGCGAACGGGUGAGUAAUGCAUCGGAACGUGCCCAGAGGUGGGGGAUAACGCAGCGAAAGCUGUGCUAAUACCGCAUGUGAUCUGAGGAUGAAAGCGGGGGACCAAGCAGCAAUGUUUGGCCUCGCGCCUCUGGAGCGGCCGAUGUCAGAUUAGGUAGUUGGUGGGGUAAAGGCCUACCAAGCCGACGAUCUGUAGCUGGUCUGAGAGGACGACCAGCCACACUGGGACUGAGACACGGCCCAGACUCCUACGGGAGGCAGCAGUGGGGAAUUUUGGACAAUGGGCGCAAGCCUGAUCCAGCAAUGCCGCGUGCGGGAAGAAGGCCUUCGGGUUGUAAACCGCUUUUGUACGGAACGAAAAGGCUCUGGCUAAUACCUGGGGCUGAUGACGGUACCAUAAGAAUAAGCACCGGCUAACUACGUG